AGCCACAUAAUCAAUGAGCUGAUAGAAACUGAACGGGUUUAUGUAGAAGAACUUCAAAGUAUAAUAGAGGGGUAUGCUUCAGAAAUGGAUAAUCCCAAUUUAGUGCAUCUGAUCCCAUCCGCGCUUCAGAACAAGAAGGAUGUGCUUUUUGGGAACCUCCCAGAAAUCUAUGAAUUCCACAACAGGAUUUUCCUUAAGGAGCUGGAAAAUUGCAUUGAAAAUCCCGAGCUUCUUGCCCGAUGCUUUUUGAAAAGA
Molecule: non-coding RNA, 255 nt
Organism: Tinamus guttatus (white-throated tinamou)
Lineage: Eukaryota; Metazoa; Chordata; Aves; Tinamiformes; Tinamidae
Source: RefSeq, a predicted model, not a curated record